CGAUGAAUUAAAGGACGCUUACAAAUAUUCAAGAUCAAUGAAAGACAAAGGCAUUCUUAUUGUUGGUGUUGCUGUUGGCUGGCCAUCUAUAGUGAAAAAGUUUAAGCCAGUCAUUAAGAAAAUAUCAACUUCAGAAAAGACAACAUUUGACACAGAAUUUGAUUCUCUGAACGAAAUACUGAACAAAAUUGUUGAUGCCUUCUGUACGUCUUUUUUACCAGGUCACUGUAGCUGUUCGUCUUUUCAAUCUUCAACUGUUUACAUCAAUUCAUCAAAAAAAGCGGUGACUGUAAGUUGGCCAAUACCAGUUCGAUGUAGAACGAACAGAGUUCCUCAAUAUACGAUGACGAUUAAACCAAAUAUCACAUCCCCACACGAUUUUACUGUUGGGAAUCAUCGUAUUGAAUAUACUUUCACAUUCAGAGAAGGAUUUUAUCUUAAAUGUUACAUAGAUAUUAAAGUUGAAAGUAAGUAUUGAC
Molecule: long non-coding RNA, 479 nt
Organism: Xenia sp. Carnegie-2017
Lineage: Eukaryota; Metazoa; Cnidaria; Anthozoa; Malacalcyonacea; Xeniidae
Exons: 3
Source: RefSeq, a predicted model, not a curated record